This 678-nucleotide long non-coding RNA is filed under the name Fragaria vesca (wild strawberry). RNAcentral's name for it is "long non-coding RNA (FVES_LNC000911)". The record is from RNAcentral. Lineage: Eukaryota; Viridiplantae; Streptophyta; Magnoliopsida; Rosales; Rosaceae.
CGGUAGACAUUUGAGAGGUUUGAGGUUAAAUGGAAACGUGGCUUUUUGUGUAGGUUUAAAGUGUAAUUGAAUGUGGUCUCGUGUUCGAGGCCCGCAGACGAUCGCCAACUGUUAAAGAUUAAAAUCUGGUGAUGGGAAAGAAGGAUAUCGCACGGGGAGAUCCGUGCGAGUAAGAAUUUGUCCGCCGAAAACUAUCCGCUAAACCUGUAAAACAAAUGAAGCGGUUAGAGUUACCUUUGUUAAGUUACUUGUAAAACAAAAAGCGGUUAGAGUUUAAUCUGGACAAUCCUCUCUGAACAAUCGCUCUCCGACGCUCAAAUCAAACAUCUUAGCGGACAAUUUGUAACUCAAAGUGAGAGAAUGAGUUAAGUUACCUUUGUUGGUGAGGCUAGGGCCUAUUUAUAGAGGUUGAGCGAGGAGGAUUGUUCUCGUAACUGUUGACUGCUUGGCGCGGAAAGAAUCUUCUAGAGGCGCGCACCGGAUCGAGCAACACACGCGCACCCACGUGUCCAGUCGAGAUGCGCUUUGGGCCAACUUGAUGUUAUGAGAACGCACGUGCAAGUUUAAUGGGAGCGCUUGACACUUGUUCCCUCGACAAGAUCAAUCACAAGAUGUUUGAGAUGUUGGAAUCCUUUCAUGGGUGAGAGGUGUACACAAAAACAAGGGGUCCAACUCAAU